UACGGAGGGGGCUAGCGUUGUUCGGAAUUACUGGGCGUAAAGCGCGCGUAGGCGGACCUGCAAGUCGGGGGUGAAAGCCCGAGGCUCAGCCUCGGAACUGCCUUCGAUACUGCGGGUCUCGAGUCCGGGAGAGGUGAGUGGAAUUCCUAGUGUAGAGGUGAAAUUCGUAGAUAUUAGGAAGAACACCAGUGGCGAAGGCGGCUCACUGGCCCGGUACUGACGCUGAGGCGCGAAAGCGUGGGGAGCAAACAGG
RNAcentral lists this ribosomal RNA (253 nucleotides) under uncultured bacterium. RNAcentral's name for it is "partial 16S ribosomal RNA". It matches the Rfam family "Bacterial small subunit ribosomal RNA", at positions 524 to 776 of the family's 1533-position model. The record is from RNAcentral.